RNAcentral lists this long non-coding RNA (5089 nucleotides) under Sus scrofa (pig). RNAcentral describes it as "lncRNA (ENSSSCG00030012315.1)". Lineage: Eukaryota; Metazoa; Chordata; Mammalia; Artiodactyla; Suidae. The record is from RNAcentral.
AUAGCUCAAUGGGAGCAUAUGUAUGAGCAGCCCUACCCAAUGAAACAGUGAUGGACAACUGGUCCACCUAGAUCAGCCAUGUCCUCUUUCCUGGAACUCAGAAUUUGAUUUAUGGAAUGAACAAAUGUGAUGUAGAAUUAGUGUAAGGGUUGCCAGCCAGGUCAUACACAGCCAUGUGUGACCCAUAUUCCUGGAGAAGAGGGAGCUAGGAGCCUACCAGAAAGAAUAAAAACAUGGGUGCAUGCCCAAGAGCAAAACAGAGGUCAUCAGCAUCUUAUAGCAGCCAGGAUAUAAAGGCUGGAGCUUCACUCCAUGAAUUGUAAUCUGAGAACUCUCUGGCCUGGCUAAAAGUUGCUUCCUGUUUUUGGAUGGUCACAUCAUUGAUCCUGUACCAAUCAAUAGUGUUGACUAAUUAAAGCCAUCCUUGUCUAACAGAUGAGUUACUUUACAAAUGGCAUUACUGUCUGAGAUUAAAAUUAUUUACAAAUAAGAAUGAUAUUAAUGGCUUCUUGAAUGUUUACCAGGUAACAAUCACUAUGCUAAUACUUUAUAUGUAUCAUCUCAGUUAAUUCUCAUGAUAAUCCUUUAAAGUAAUUGGUAGUAAUAUUCCUGUUUUGAAAAAGAAGACAUUGGGAUUCACAGAGGUUAAGGAAUUUUUUUAUUCAUCUCACAAGUAUUUCUUGUCUGGUCUAUGCCAGUCCCUUUUCCAGGGCUUGGAAUAUAUACCAACAAACAAAAUAGGUAAAGACCCCUCUUCCCUCAUGGAGAUUAUGUAGUACAGGGGAAAUCAGAAAAAAACUAUUAACAAAUAAGUUACGUUAGGUAGGAUAUUAGAUAGAGAUAAGUGCCCUGGAAUUGAAAUGAGAUCUGGGGUGUCAGGAUGGAUGUGGGCACUGGCUUGCAAUUUCAAACGGAGAGUUUAGGGUACACUUCACUAAGUUAUUUUACCAGAGGCUUAAAGGAGGUGAAGGAACAGUAGGUACCUUAUAGUUAUCUUGGAGAAGUGUAUUCCAGGCAGAGGGGAGAGCAAAUACAAAGUUCUAAGGCAGGACCAACAGCACACAGGCCAAUACAGUUGGAAUAGAAGGGCUGAUGGGAAGAGUGAGAAGGGAGGGAAAGAGGCCAGAGAAAUAAGGCGCCAGAUCUCAGGACCUCGAAGGCUGUCCUGGGGCUUUUUAUUCUGACUAGAAUGAAUAAGAGUCCUGAUCACACAAGUGACUUCUCAUUUACUUCUUGAAAGGACUACUUUGACUGCUGAUAUGAAAAGAGUCCAGAACCUAGUCCAUAAGGGCAUGCAGGUAAGUGCAGAGCCCAGAUUCAAGCUUAUUUCACUUCCAGGCAUCACAUUCUGUUCCCUCUUUGGUUGGUUAUAAAGGUUCUAAAGUUAUGAAGGGGUGUUUCAAAUCAUUUCUCCCUUGCUAUGGUCUAUUAUCUUUUUAUCUGUACUUUGACACAAGAAGCUGCUGUAGACAUCUUACCCUACUGAAUUAUCAUAAGAAUAUUAGUUAAUAUGGAUGAUGUAUAAGGUUCUUACUAUUUGUCUGGCACUGAACAAAGUUGAUAAAUGCAUUGUCUCAUUUGAGCCCCACAGCAAACCUGUAAGACAAUGGCACAGUUGUGAUGCUGCUGUGCAGAUGAGGACCUGAAUUUUGGAGAGUUUCUUUCUUCACCCUGCCUCCCAGGGAACUCUUCCACUUAAAGAUUUCCCAGAAGACUUGGCUUGGGAUAGGAAUGGCUUUUCAAGCACCUUCUCACUGAGAAGUUUGCCAGUUCCUUAAGACCAGGAACCAAGUCACAUGCUUCUCUUUAUUAAGCUGUGUUCCCAGGAUAGUAUCCUUCACAUGGAUAUUGUGAUAUGGAUCUAUUAUAUCAGUCUAAUAUAUUUAUUUUGGAUGAACGACUUAUGUUAACAACUUUUAGCCUAGUUAAAAUAGACUUUAGAAACAUCAAGUAUUUCUUUAGAAGUUCGUUUUAAUUCCAUUAUAAGCCACAAAGGAAUAUGUUCAAUGUGGAGCCUUGGAUGCCACGGAUUAAUGAAAUUUUGAGCAGGUGAUGGAGGUACAUUUGCUGAUCCAUUUAUUCAUACAUUUGCUGAUCCAUUUAUCCAUUUAUUCUACAAUGUAGCAUUCUCUUCCAUUCCCUUCUUUUUUUUCAGGGUGGUUGUGGAAGCUAGGAUUCAGUAUUUUAUUUUAUUUUUAUUGUUUGAACAUUUUUUAUAGUUGAUUUACAAUGUUGUAUUAUUUCAGGUGUACAGCAAGGUGAAUCAGCCACACAUAUAAAUAUAUCCACUCUUUUUUUUCCCCCAUAUAGGUUAUUACAAACUAUUGAGUAGAUUUAUCUGGGCUAUACAGUAGGUCCUCAUUAAUCAUCUAUUUAAUACACUCUCUUCUAUUAUGUACCUAAUAUGGGUCUUAUUUUCCUCACCUGUAAAAUGACACUGCUACUAAGGUUGCUGUAAUUGUUACUGGGCCGGACCCUGGGAGGCCUUCCUGGAGUGGACACCCCCCCCAUGACCUCCCCCUGCCUUUUUAUCUAUAGAAAAACUUUAGUCAAGAAUCAAUUUAAUUAGAGAAGUGAGAAAAUACAGAGGAAAAGGAAAACAAGCAAGCAAGACAGAAUAAAAAUAGUUUCGCCAUUCAACAGUCAAGGACUUUUAGUUCUUCCUCAAGGACUAUAGAUAAUAUUCUGAGUCAUGUCCUUGGGGCUGUUUUGCAGGUGCUGAAGCCCCCACCAGGUGGAAGAAGCCAACUAUAUGCUGCCCACAAGCACAAAGACCCCAGACCAGCUGGAACCAGAAGGUGGAUGACACUGCCUCACAAUUACCUCACCACCAGCCAAUCAGGAAAAUGUCUGUGAGCUGAUCAUAUGCUGUUCCUUGAGAACUAUAAGACUCCUAACUACCCCAUCCAAGGGGGGCCCAGUUCUUCAGGCACUACCCUGGGGUGUUCCCUCUUUGCCUGGCAAUUAAAGUUACCUUUUUUAUUUUCUCCAACUCUGUCUCCACGUUUCCAUUUGGCAUCGGUGUACAGAGGCAGCAGAUAUUUCAGCAACAUAAUCAUUAAACGAUCUAACACAUAUAAAGCAUUUGCCCAUUUCCUGGUUGAUAAUACAUGCUCAAGAAAUGGUAUCUUUUAUUCCAGUAUCUGCUUAGAAUUCCUUUUCUCAUCCUAGGGAUGCUGGGGUGGAUCUGAGCCAGACAGAAAAUCUGCUGCGGACAGAAAAUCUGCUCCUGCCUAAGUCUUUAGAAAUAUGUGCUAUCAUGACAGAGGUCUGUUGGUAAAUGUUUAACAACUGGUCUUGUAAAACAAAAGAAAAGCAAAAAUGUAAGUGUAGCAUUUGUCAAUUUCUGUGGUGUAAACACCCCCACCCUGGUUGAUGUCGAUUCUUGGGAAGUGAUGCCACUCCCCAUGUAAUUAGGAAGGUAAGGCACAAAAUUGACUCUUACCAGUGGGUUCUGCUGUGACGCACUGUGGCUGUUUUCCCACCAGGCUAAGCCUUCUUCUGGCUAGAAUGUACUAUCAGCCCAAAAUUCUUUUAUCCACUGAGGGAUUUAUCUUUACUGCCCCUGCUAAUAAGCUGAUUUUUACAUUAUUUUAUUUAUUUAUUUAUUUAUUUAUUUAUUUAUUUUUGUCUUCUAGGGCCAUACCCAGAGCAUAUGGAGGUUCCUAGGCUAGGGGUCAAAUCAGAGUUGUAGCUGCUUGGCCUACACCACGGCCACAGCAACGGCAGAUCCAAGCCGAGUCUGCAUCCUACACCACAGCUCGUGGCAACGCAGGAUCCUUAACCCACUGAGCGAGGCCAGGGAUUGAAACUGAGUCCUCAUGGAUGCUUGUCAGAUUCAUUUCCACUGAGCCAUGACAGGAACUCCUGCAUUAUUUUAAUAAGUACUGAUAGAGUGCCCAGUCUAGUGCCAGUCUAAGCCCACUACACUCCUUAAUUCGUUUGCCCAAUAAAUCUCCUUUGAAAUAGAUGUGAUUUUUACCCCCAUUUUGUGUACAGAGAAACUGAGAGCCAGAGGGCAAUGUCAUGACUAACUAGCCAAGGGUUACACAGUUAGUAAUUGGCAGAGCCAACAUUCAAAUCAAGUGGCCUGGCCCUGAGUCCAUUUUCCUAUCUAUUCUGUUGGCCCAGACACAAAACUCAGCCCAAAAGCUGUACCCUAUCAAAGGGUCUGGAGGCCUGGGACUGGGGCUCUUCGAUAACUAUUGCCCUUGCCCCUCCCUGGAAGGUGCAAUUGCAAAGUCUCCUUUAACUUGCCUUUCAAAGGCCGAAACGGAAACCCCUGCUACUUCUGGGACUAGGUUUCCAAAGGUUGUGCUGGCAGCCAGAGCACAACAGCUGCUCAGCUAUGCGAGGAUCCAGCAGCCCCAGAGGAGGAGGUGUAGUAAGGCCUGAUGCCCUGUGCCAAGCCCAGCACCCACCAGCUGCCUCCCUCCCCCUUCCAUCAGAGCAGGAACCAUGUUAACCCUGUCAGCACCAGCCGCCCAGGCUCAGAGAAGGAGCUGGGUUUCCCCAGAGGCUAAGUUGCCCAUAAACGCAAAGCUAGUGAUUUCAACUCUCCCUUACCCUUUCCACACCAUGACUUUUUUUUAUUGCUCUGUUUUCACGUUUUGAAACCACUCAGCUGAGCAUUCUUUUCUCAUCUUGUUUCUGUACAAGUCUUGCAAGUUUCUAUGCCUUUUAGCCUGCAAGCUCUAGCUGUUUCGUUGCAGUCUACCCAGUGAGUUACAACAGGGAGAAAACAUACACUAUACCAAGUUAAGUGGAUUCUAACAUUCAGAGGUGUCUAUAGUGAUCAGAAAGCCCCUUAUUAUGUCAUUUCUCUAUCUUUGCACAGAGGCAUUGGCAUCCUUGGAUACCACAAAGUGUGAGCUCAAAUACAGUGAGAUUCUCCCUCCUGGGUAGGCACAGAAGGGAACGCCUCACCCCAGAUAUUGAUCCUAGAGCAAAAAGAUGACACAGAGACUUCUGGAUUCCUACCCCUAGGACCCUGCUCAGCAUAAGCCAUCUGGGGUGGGGACUGGAUCCUUAAGGAUCCACACAAGAAGCUCUUAAACAGAACAGAAAAAAAACAAAAACAAAAAAAAAA